UCACUGCUUGCGCAGGCAGUCCUAUCAGAGUCCCCGGCUUUACCCGCUGGUAACUGACAGUAAGGGUUGCGCUCGUUGCGGGACUUAACCCAACAUCUCACGACACGAGCUGACGACAGCCAUGCAGCACCUCUACAGCGACCUCCGAAGAGGGAAUCUCAUCUCUGAGACUUUCCACUGCAGUUCAAACCCAGGUAAGGUUCUGCGCGCUGCUUCGAAUUAAACCACAUGCUCCGCUGCUUGUGCGGGUCCCCGUCAAUUCCUUUGAGUUUUAGCCUUGCGGCCGUACUCCCCAGGCGGGGCACUUAAUGCGUUAGCUCCGGCACGGGAGGAGUCGACACCUCCCACACCUAGUGCCCAUCGUUUACGGCGUGGACUAC
Molecule: unclassified non-coding RNA, 380 nt
Filed under: uncultured bacterium
Lineage: Bacteria
Description: contains 16S-23S intergenic spacer region
Source: RNAcentral